Molecule: ribosomal RNA, 460 nt
Filed under: uncultured bacterium
Lineage: Bacteria
Description: partial 16S ribosomal RNA
Rfam family: Bacterial small subunit ribosomal RNA
Source: RNAcentral
CCUACGGGUGGCAGCAGUGAGGAAUAUUGGUCAAUGGACGAGAGUCUGAACCAGCCAAGUAGCGUGAAGGAUGACUGCCCUAUGGGUUGUAAACUUCUUUUAUAUGGGAAUAACACAGGGUAUGCAUACCCUCUUUUAUGUACCAUAUGAAUAAGGAUCGGCUAACUCCGUGCCAGCAGCCGCGGUAAUACGGAGGAUCCGAGCGUUAUCCGGAUUUAUUGGGUUUAAAGGGAGGGUAGGUGGUUUGUUAAGUCAGUUGGUAAAGUGUGGGGGUCAACCGUAAAAUGGCAGUUGAAACUGGCAGUAUGGAGUAGGAGAGAAGUAGGCGGAAUGCGUGGUGUAGCGGUGAAAUGCUUAGAUAUCACGCAGAAAUCCGAUUGCGAAGGCAGCACACCGGCGCCCAACUGACGCUGAUGCACGAAAGUGUGGGUAUCAAACAGGAUUAGAUACCCCAGUAGUC